GGCCCCAGAGUGCGUCCCAGGCAGGCGGGACCUGGAACCCGGCCUCUGGAGAGAAGCUCACCCUGUCUCUGCCACUAAGAGGGACUGCCUGUGCCAACCCUGCCAGGGUUACUUGAUGGUCCACAGUGUCCCCACCCCUCCCGGGGAGAGGGAAGGAGUUGUGAUCACAGCCUCUUGCUUGCCUCCCAGGGGCCGUGAGGCGGGAUUGUACCAUCACGGGGUGGUCUGAGCCCUUCCCGCCUUACCCUGUGGCCUGCCCUGUGCCCCUGGAGCUGCUGGCUGAGGAGAAAUCUUACUUCUCCACAGUGAAGAUCAUCUACACCAUGGGCCACAGCAUCUCUACCGUAGCCCUCUUGGUGGCCAUCGCCAUCCUGCUUGCUCUCAGGAGGCUGCACUGCCCCCGGAACUACAUCCACACCCAGCUGUUCGCCACCUUCAUCCUCAAGGCAGCAGCCGUGUUCCUGAAGGACGCCACCCUCUUCCACGGCGGCAGCGCGGACCACUGCAACCUCUCCACUGUUCUGUGCAAGGUCUCCGUGGCAGCCUCCCAUUUCGCCACCAUGACCAACUUCAGCUGGCUGCUGGCAGAAGCCGUCUACCUGACCUGCCUCCUGGCCUCUACCUCCCCCAGCUCAAGGAGCGCCUUCUGGUGGCUGGUUCUUGCUGCCUGGGGGCUGCCCAUGCUGCUCGCCGGCACGUGGGUGGGCUGCAAGCUGGCCUUCGAGGACAUCGCGUGCUGGGACCUGGACGACAGCUCCCCCUACUGGUGGAUCAUCAAAGGGCCCAUCGUGCUCUCCGUUGCGGUGAACUUUGGGCUUUUUCUCAAUAUCAUCCGCAUCCUGCUGAGGAAACUGGAACCAGCUCAGGGCAGCCUCCACACCCAGUCUCAGUACUGGCGUCUCUCCAAGUCAACGCUUCUCCUCAUCCCACUGUUUGGAGUUCACUACAUCAUCUUCAACUUCCUGCCCGACGAUGCUGGCCUGGGCAUCCGCCUCCCCCUGGAGCUGGGACUGGGCUCCUUCCAGGGCUUCAUCGUUGCCAUCCUCUACUGCUUCCUCAACCAAGAGGUGUGUGACUCUCCAGGCUACCCCUUAUUUAUUGAGCCCACCUUCCAGCUCGGGCCACACUUUGACUGCUGUGAUCCUUUGUGGUGGUUUGUCUUGAGCUUCUGGAUCAAGCUGAACCUGAAUGCUUCCUGUAAACAUCUUUUCUCCAUCCUGCAUCUGAGCUGGGCCAAGUUCAACCAUCCACUCACCAGGAGGUGGAGCAGACCUUUCGGGGAUCAGGAGAGGGAUCAAGGCGGGGAGUCUAAAGGGACCCCCCCCAUUCUGUGUCCCUAAACUUGAACAUAAGGAAGAGUGGGGGAGGGCGUAUGUCAGUUGGGAGAGAGACAGUCAGAGGGAACAGAGACAGGAACCGAGAAAGUCAUAGGUAGACAUGCAGGGACCUAGGCAAAUAGAGUCAGACGCAGAGACCGGGAGAAAUACCCAGGGCAGAGCCGGGGAAACGGAAAGCACCGGGAUGAAAGACACACAAAGAGAACAGACAUGAACAGACAGAGCAGACGGUGCCGCCACACCUGCAGAGACAUGGUGAGGACUGAGAUCUCGCGGAAGUGGCAUGGCCAUGACCCGGAGCUUCUGCCAGCCCGGAGGACCCCAGC
Microcebus murinus (gray mouse lemur) is the source of this 1663-nucleotide non-coding RNA. The record is from RefSeq and is a predicted model, not a curated record. Lineage: Eukaryota; Metazoa; Chordata; Mammalia; Primates; Cheirogaleidae.